UGGGGAAUUUUGCACAAUGGGGGAAACCCUGAUGCAGCGACGCCGCGUGAUUUAGAAGGCCUUCGGGUUGUAAAAAUCUUUUCUAUGGGAAGAAAAUGACAGUACCAUAGGAAUAAGGACCGGCUAAUUACGUGCCAGCAGCCGCGGUAAUACGUAAGGUCCGAGCGUUGUCCGGAAUCAUUGGGCGUAAAGGGUACGUAGGCGGGUAAGCAAGUUAGAAGUGAAAUCCUAUAGCUCAACUAUAGUAAGCUUUUAAAACUGCUCAUCUUGAAGUAUGGAAGGGAAAGUGGAAUUCCUAGUGUAGCGGUGAAAUGCGCAGAUAUUAGGGGGAAUACCGGUGGCGGAGGCGACUUUCUGGCCAUAACCUGACGCUGAGGUACGAAAGCGUGGGUAGCAAACAGG
This 402-nucleotide ribosomal RNA is filed under the name bacterium. RNAcentral's name for it is "partial 16S ribosomal RNA". It matches the Rfam family "Bacterial small subunit ribosomal RNA", at positions 355 to 776 of the family's 1533-position model. The record is from RNAcentral.